This 250-nucleotide ribosomal RNA is filed under the name uncultured bacterium. RNAcentral's name for it is "partial 16S ribosomal RNA". It matches the Rfam family "Bacterial small subunit ribosomal RNA", at positions 524 to 773 of the family's 1533-position model. The record is from RNAcentral.
UACGGAGGAUCCGAGCGUUAUCCGGAUUUAUUGGGUUUAAAGGGUGCGUAGGCGGUUUGAUAAGUUAGAGGUGAAAUUUCGGUGCUCAACAUCGAAACUGCCUCUGAUACUGUCAGACUAGAGAAUAGUUGCAGAAGGCGGAAUGAGUAGUGUAGCGGUGAAAUGCUUAGAUAUUACUCAGAACACCGAUUGCGAAGGCAGCUUUCUAAGCUAUAUCUGACGCUGAUGCACGAAAGCGUGGGGAGCAAAC